GCCUCCCUGGUCUAGUUGGUUAUGAUUUUGGUCUCAUAUUAUUCUUAUGAUCACUCAUCAGAAAGUGAACAAUCCGAAGGUCGCCAGUUCGAUCCUGGCGGGGGGCA
Molecule: non-coding RNA, 107 nt
Organism: Pseudohyphozyma bogoriensis
Lineage: Eukaryota; Fungi; Basidiomycota; Microbotryomycetes; Chrysozymaceae
Source: the annotation of a GenBank genome assembly